This 1021-nucleotide long non-coding RNA is filed under the name Sinocyclocheilus grahami. RNAcentral describes it as "lncRNA (ENSSGRG00000009591.1)". The record is from RNAcentral. Lineage: Eukaryota; Metazoa; Chordata; Actinopteri; Cypriniformes; Cyprinidae.
UUCUUUGAUAAACAUAGAGACAUCCUACCAUAACUGUUUAACAUAACUACAGUGCCAGAAGAUGUGGGGUACAGUUUACAAGUGCAAAGAGCAAUUAACAUCAAUGUCCUUCUUAAACUUACUGAGAACAUGUUUAACAGGAUAGAAUGUAUGAAAUAUGUUUGUCAUCUUCACAAACAUUCGAUUGGUCCCUCGGAACCCGUACGUCAUCUGCGCCACCCCUCACCACGGGGGCUUAUUAUUCCACGAGCGACUGACGCCGAAACUACAAUGUCAAACAUUUUCGGGACACCGAGCGCUUCCGCGUUCGGGAAGGACCCGUCCUGAUUUCUUAGCAUACGCGCAAAACCUACGGACAAUCAGAUGAUAUUUCUGGAAGCUGAAGAUUGAGAUGAUGUAUCAUCUUUCAGACAAGGUGGAAGUGUGAGUGAGUCAGGGAGAGAUGGAGGUGAUUAGAAGAAAAGACUCCGACUCAAACGGCCUGCUCUCAGACAACUCGGAGAAUGGCUGUGAGGUAUGAACCUCAUCAUUGGAAAGGUAUGAGUGUCACUAUUGGACCUGCACAUGUUCAACUUCUCUUUCUGUAGGACUUGGGGGCUCGUGGGCAGACGACUGGAGUGUGUUUGUGUGAAAAUAUCCCCUUUACCACCUUCUGUGAUCAGCACCCACAGGAGGACUCCAGUGUGAAGUGUGUCCAGUGCGGUAAGAACAGGCCCAUGAUCACCAGAUACUCAGAGGGUUACGGCACAGAGGAGGAGUGUGUGCAGCCUCAUCUUCAGGGAGACAGCGACGCAGACGCAGACAUCGAGGACACGGACAGCAGGCUCCAGAUUGUGGGUUCCCUCCAGCGAAUCAGCUCCCGGAAGAGAAAGCGUCAGCGAAUCACACGGCAGGACACAACGGAGAGCGAAGACGAUGGUGGGGGGAGCCACAGGACGCAACGCUGGAGUCUACGACUCAGUCCUCAUCGCACGCAUAACAGGACCAUACUGGAGGUGAGCGACGUUCAACAACAGUGCUG